RNAcentral lists this ribosomal RNA (631 nucleotides) under Sawadaea bicornis. RNAcentral describes it as "partial large subunit ribosomal RNA". It matches the Rfam family "Eukaryotic large subunit ribosomal RNA", at positions 84 to 732 of the family's 3401-position model. Lineage: Eukaryota; Fungi; Ascomycota; Leotiomycetes; Helotiales; Erysiphaceae. The record is from RNAcentral.
UAACGGCGAGUGAAGCGGUAACAGCUCAAAUUUGAAAUCUGGCCCCCUCGGGGCCCUAGUUGUUUUAGAAGAUGAUGCUUUGGGUGUGGGCCCGGCCUAUGUUCCUUGGAACAGGACGUCGAAGAGGGUGAGAAUCCCUUAUGCUGCUGGUGCCCUCGCCCGUGUAAAGCUCUUUCGACGAGUCGAGUUGUUUGGGAAUGCAUCUCUAAAUGGGGGGUAAAUUUCAUCUAAAGCUAAAUAUUGGCCAGAGACCGAUAGCGCACAAGUAGAGUGAUCGAAAGAUGAAAAGCUCUUUGGAAAGAGAGUUAAACAGUACGUGAAAUUGUUGAAAGGGAAGCUCUGGCAACCAGACUUGGGCGCUGCUGAUCCGCGGGGGUUCUCCCCCGGGCACUCGGCAGCGCGCAGGCCAGCAUCGGUUUGGGUGGCUGGAGAAAGGCUGGUGGAAUGUAUCUGCCCUCGGGCAGUGUUAUAGCCACCGGUGUCAUGCAGCCCACCCGGACCGAGGACCGCGCUUCGGCUAGGAUGCUGGCGUAAUGGUUGUCAGCGACCCGUCUUGAAACACGGACCAAGGAGUCUAACAUCUAUGCGAGUGUUUGGGUGCCAAACCCAUGCGCGGAAUGAAAGUGAACGU